Malus domestica (apple) is the source of this 530-nucleotide long non-coding RNA. RefSeq lists it as uncharacterized. The record is from RefSeq and is a predicted model, not a curated record. NCBI's taxonomy places the organism in Eukaryota, Viridiplantae, Streptophyta, Magnoliopsida, Rosales, Rosaceae.
CUCUUUUCCGCUUAACCCACCCACUUCUAUCCAACUUUCUCUCCCCCCGCUUAACCCACUGACACCCUUCAUAUUUAUCCCCACUCUCUCUCCCCGCCCGCCCACAUCUAUCCAACUCUAUCUCUUUCUCUCUCCAUCUCCCCUUAACCCACACGCAUCUUUCAUAUUUAUCUCUUUCAUAUUUCCUUAUUUUUAGUUAUGUCUCUACCCUCUCUAUUCUCUUUAAAACGACCAAACCGGACUCGCCGGCCAAGUUUCGGCCAAAACUAGAUCUCGACCCAAUAGAGAGAAGUGAUCCUCUCAUAGUGAGCUUCCUAUCUAUAUUUGGUUAGUGAUUUUGUUUGGGAGAUUGAAUUCAAGCUAAACUGUAAGAAAGUGGUUCAAAUUCUUGGAUUUAGUUUACUCACUUGGAGACUCGCUCCUAUCGUACAGAAUUUUCAUACACAGGAAUGCGACUGUGGUGGAGAAUAUAGAGAAGAUGGUUCAAAUGACAAAGUUGGCAAGAAAGUGCAUUUUGGAGCAUUUUAUAG